UAGUGUUAUAGCUCUUUUAGAAUUUAUCUAGUUAUGUUUGACUGGAAAACCUCCA
This is a small nuclear RNA of Callithrix jacchus (white-tufted-ear marmoset), 55 nucleotides long. Its record names the gene U7. It matches the Rfam family "U7 small nuclear RNA". From Rfam's summary of the family: Animal histone pre-mRNAs are spliced by a different mechanism than nuclear pre-mRNAs and self-splicing introns. This processing involves the U7 snRNP, which contains only one RNA species: U7. Lineage: Eukaryota; Metazoa; Chordata; Mammalia; Primates; Cebidae. The record is from Ensembl.